RNAcentral lists this ribosomal RNA (370 nucleotides) under uncultured organism. RNAcentral's name for it is "partial 16S ribosomal RNA". It matches the Rfam family "Bacterial small subunit ribosomal RNA", at positions 527 to 896 of the family's 1533-position model. The record is from RNAcentral.
GUAGGUGGCAAGCGUUGUCCGGAAUUAUUGGGCGUAAAGCGCGCGCAGGCGGUUCUUUAAGUCUGAUGUGAAAGCCCACGGCUCAACCGUGGAGGUCAUUGGAAACUGGAGAACUUGAGUACAGAAGAGGAAAGCGGAAUUCCACGUGUAGCGGUGAAAUGCGUAGAGAUGUGGAGGAACACCAGUGGCGAAGGCGGCUUUCUGGUCUGUAACUGACGCUGAGGCGCGAAAGCGUGGGGAGCAAACAGGAUUAGAUACCCUGGUAGUCCACGCCGUAAACGAUGAGUGCUAAGUGUUAGGGGGUUUCCGCCCCCUUAGUGCUGCAGCUAACGCAUUAAGCACUCCGCCUGGGAGUACGGCCGCAAGGCUG